CUGUGAAUUUGCCACUGUUCAUGUGGUAGAAGAUGGUCCUACAAUUGUAUUACGCUUCUGUUGGCCAGCAAAUAUAGACCUGCCUUACCGGAUUGAGAACCACUUGGAAAAUACUUCUAUUACAUAUUAUCAGAAGGGUUUACCAGAGCCGGAGGUUUUGGCAUCUGGAAGUAUUGCUGGCUAUGUCUGGGAUGACCUGAGACUUGACCAUAAG
This 214-nucleotide unclassified non-coding RNA is filed under the name Hevea brasiliensis (rubber tree). Lineage: Eukaryota; Viridiplantae; Streptophyta; Magnoliopsida; Malpighiales; Euphorbiaceae. The record is from RNAcentral.